Xenopus laevis (African clawed frog) is the source of this 353-nucleotide long non-coding RNA. RefSeq lists it as uncharacterized. The record is from RefSeq and is a predicted model, not a curated record. The transcript has 4 exons. NCBI's taxonomy places the organism in Eukaryota, Metazoa, Chordata, Amphibia, Anura, Pipidae.
CUCUAUUUACCAGCAGUCAAUAUUGGAAACUGGUAAUACCAACAGCCAGGAAGAAAAAACACUGACAGAGGACCUGAGCAAUACCAUCGGCCAGGUGGAGCUCGAGGAGAGCGAUGAGUACAACUGUCAGCAUGAAAAUGAUGAGUCCUCAUCUGAAACUGGCAACAACAUUGGCCAGGAAUGCCCAGAGGAAGAUUAUCUGGGCAGUGACCUCCGGGAGGAAAAGGCUGAAGAGAUUGUUGAGGUAUGGCAAGAAGAAGAAAUAAAAGAAACGACCAUAGAAAACGAUGGAAAGGAGGGAUGGCAACAAGUGCAAAUAAGAAAAGUGGUCAUAGAAGUCAUCAAUGACCAGG